RNAcentral lists this ribosomal RNA (422 nucleotides) under uncultured prokaryote. RNAcentral's name for it is "bacterial SSU rRNA". It matches the Rfam family "Bacterial small subunit ribosomal RNA", at positions 355 to 774 of the family's 1533-position model. The record is from RNAcentral.
UGAGGAAUAUUGGUCAAUGGGCGAGAGCCUGAACCAGCCAAGUCGCGUGAAGGAAGAAGGCUCUAUGGUUCGUAAACUUCUUUUGCAGGGGAAUAAAGUGCAGGACGUGUCCUGUGUUGUAUGUACCCUGAGAAUAAGGAUCGGCUCACUCCGUGCCAGCAGCCGCGGUAAUACGGAGGAUCCGAGCGUUAUCCGGAGUUAUUGGGUUUAAAGGGUGCGUAGGUGGUUUAAUAAGUCAGCGGUGAAAGUGUGCAGCUUAACUGUAAAAAUGCCGUUGAAACUGUUAGACUUGAGUGUAAAUGAGGUAGGCGGAAUGCGUGGUGUAGCGGUGAAAUGCUUAGAUAUCACGCAGAACUCCGAUUGCGAAGGCAGCUUACCAAGCUACAACUGACACUGAAGCACGAAAGCGUGGGGAUCAAACA